RNAcentral lists this ribosomal RNA (890 nucleotides) under uncultured bacterium. Its description in RNAcentral is "bacterial SSU rRNA". It matches the Rfam family "Bacterial small subunit ribosomal RNA", at positions 192 to 1064 of the family's 1533-position model. The record is from RNAcentral.
AUCUGUGGAUUAAAGGUGGCUUUUGGGCUGUCGCAGAUGGAUGAGCCUGCGUUGGAUUAGCUAGUUGGUGGGGUAAGGGCCCACCAAGGCUACGAUCCAUAGCUGAUUUGAGAGGAUGAUCAGCCACAUUGGGACUGAGACACGGCCCAAACUCCUACGGGAGGCAGCAGUGAGGAAUAUUGGACAAUGGGGGCAACCCUGAUCCAGCAAUGCCAUGUGUGUGAAGAAGGCCUUAGGGUUGUAAAGCACUUUAGUUGGGGAAGAAAGCUUUGAGGUUAAUAGCCUUGAGGAAGGACGUUACCCAAAGAAUAAGCACCGGCUAACUCCGUGCCAGCAGCCGCGGUAAUACGGGGGGUGCAAGCGUUAAUCGGAAUUACUGGGCGUAAAGAGUCUGUAGGUGGUUUGUUAAGUCAGAUGUGAAAGCCCAGGGCUCAACCUUGGAACUGCAUUUGAUACUGGCAAACUAGAGUACGGUAGAGGAAUGGGGAAUUUCUGGUGUAGCGGUGAAAUGCGUAGAGAUCAGAAGGAACACCAAUGGCGAAGGCAACAUUCUGGACCGAUACUGACACUGAGGGACGAAAGCGUGGGGAUCAAACAGGAUUAGAUACCCUGGUAGUCCACGCUGUAAACGAUGAGUACUAGCUGUUGGAGUCGGUGUAAAGGCUCUAGUGGCGCAGCUAACGCGAUAAGUACUCCGCCUGGGGACUACGGCCGCAAGGCUAAAACUCAAAGGAAUUGACGGGGACCCGCACAAGCGGUGGAGCAUGUGGUUUAAUUCGAUGCAACGCGAAGAACCUUACCUGGUCUUGACAUCCUGCGAACUUUCUAGAGAUAGAUUGGUGCCUUCGGGAACGCAGUGACAGGUGCUGCACGGCUGUCGUCAGCUCGUG